Mauremys mutica (yellowpond turtle) is the source of this 442-nucleotide long non-coding RNA. RefSeq lists it as uncharacterized. The transcript has 3 exons. The record is from RefSeq and is a predicted model, not a curated record. Lineage: Eukaryota; Metazoa; Chordata; Testudines; Geoemydidae.
GCAGAGGCAGGUGAGCCACAGGGAAAAAUUAUGGGUAAAAAGAUCAGAAGGACAAGGGAGAGACCUGACAAGGAGAAGAAUAAAGUAUUGGUACCACUGCUGCAGAGAGAAAGGAUGCUUCUAAGCUUCAGCCGCUUGACUGGGAGGACUCAGGAGAGCUAGGUUCAGUUCCUAUCUCUCCCAGAGAGAUCUUGGGUUUUAUGCAUGCCAGCCAAAUGAUUUGGAUACACUCCAAGCAAAGGCAAUGAAGAUUCAAAAAGAGGAGUACUGUCAAAGGAGCAAAAAGCAGACACAUUGCCAUUGCCUUCAAUAGUAUUACUAUUACCAUAGUGUUUUGCAGCCCUUGUUAUGGGUCAGGACCCCAUUGUGCUAGGUGCUGUACAAACGGAACAAAAAUACAGUCUCUGCCCCGAAGAGCUUAUAAGAGAUGACUGUGGUAUCA